Long non-coding RNA from Tyto alba (common barn owl), 528 nucleotides. RefSeq lists it as uncharacterized. NCBI's taxonomy places the organism in Eukaryota, Metazoa, Chordata, Aves, Strigiformes, Tytonidae. The record is from RefSeq and is a predicted model, not a curated record. The transcript has 3 exons.
CACGGCUACAUGGGAGCAAUCCCUAAUACCAGCCCAAAGUUACCAAGUUCUUUGUCCUGGUUUCCCUUUAAUACGUGUUAUGAAUUAGAAAAACCCUCUCAACAUAUUAAUAAAGCCACUGCUUCAGUCUGCUGGGCUUUACGUUUUAACACUACUACAUACUGUAUACUAUGCUUUGUGUAUUUGAUGCAAACUAUAAAUGUAUAUUCUAAUGCAUACAACAUUCUUAUAUUGCGUACUAUACAGUUUAAAUAUUUAAGGUGAAAAGGCCACGUUUACUCCUGGAUUUUUCCCAGCUGCACGGAAAGCAGCUCAUACCUAAUGCUUCAUUACUGUGAUCAAUAUCAGUAAUGCAACUCACCAAAGACACCAUGAUUGCCUUCAAUUUUCAGGAUGUUGCCCUCAGUGGACAGUGCUUGGGAUAUUUCCACGAGCUCACAGUGUUUUCUGUCUGCUCUAGAAACACACAGCUCUCUGUUUAGAACAGCUGAAGAGAACAAGCUCUGAAGCACCAGUGCUUUCUCAGAA